Molecule: ribosomal RNA, 466 nt
Filed under: uncultured bacterium
Lineage: Bacteria
Description: partial 16S ribosomal RNA
Rfam family: Bacterial small subunit ribosomal RNA
Source: RNAcentral
CCUACGGGAGGCAGCAGUGGGGAAUCUUCCGCAAUGGGCGCAAGCCUGACGGAGCAACGCCGCGUGAAUGAAGAAGGUCUUCGGAUCGUAAAGUUCUGUUCUUAGGGAAGAAGUCUUAGGUUGUGAAUAAUGACUUAAGGUGACGGUACCUAUGGAGAAAGCUCCGGCUAACUACGUGCCAGCAGCCGCGGUAAUACGUAGGGAGCGAGCGUUGUCCGGAAUUACUGGGCGUAAAGGGCGCGUAGGCGGGAACUUAAGUUAGAUGUGAAAGUCCGCGGCUCAACCGUGGAAUUGCAGUUGAAACUGGAGGCCGUGAGUGCACACAGGGAUGCCGGAAUUCAUGGUGUAGCGGUGAAAUGCUUAGAUAUCAUGAAGAACUCCGAUCGCGAAGGCAAGUGUCCGGGGUGCAACUGACGCUGAGGCUCGAAAGUGCGGGUAUCAAACAGGAUUAGAUACCCGUGUAGUC